Molecule: transfer RNA, 64 nt
Filed under: Lasioglossum parvulum
Lineage: Eukaryota; Metazoa; Arthropoda; Insecta; Hymenoptera; Halictidae
Description: tRNA-Thr
Source: RNAcentral
AGCUAAAUAGUUUAUAUUAAAACAUUAAUUUUGUAAAUUAAAAAUAAAAUAAUUUUUUUAGCUU